AAACAACAAAGAAUUGUAUGGCCCAAUUCAUGCAAUUUGCAUUAAAUACUUUCUUCGUCUUACUUAACAGCUCGUACACCAAUAGUUUUGACACGGAAUCUAUACUGAGGUUGAGAAUCAUUGUCAUCAUCAUCGUCAUCGUCAUCUUCACUAGACUCAUCUUCAACCCUAUCCCAUCUUGAAUAGUCAAGCCGUGAAUGUCCUUUUGGCUGUGGGAUUGCUUCCCAGCUAGACGACGGUUGUUCAGACGAUUCCAUUUUUGGAACAUCACUGACUUCAGUUGUCUGUUUGACACUUUCAGACUCAGCUUUUAUUGUGGUUACUUCCACAACAUCUCUUUUGUCUUCUCCUACAUCAACUUCAGUGGUUUCUCUAUUUGUACAUUGUUCUUCCCAAUCAUCAUCAUCUUCUUCAAGCUCUGCUUCAUCUUCAGGUAUUGGAGCA
Molecule: unclassified non-coding RNA, 444 nt
Filed under: Hevea brasiliensis (rubber tree)
Lineage: Eukaryota; Viridiplantae; Streptophyta; Magnoliopsida; Malpighiales; Euphorbiaceae
Source: RNAcentral